AUUUAGCUAGCGUGAGGGAUUGAAGAGGAAAGCCCGGAGUGAGGUACGAACGAGGACUUGAAACAAAAAGCCCGACCCGAA
Molecule: small RNA, 81 nt
Filed under: Marinifilum flexuosum
Lineage: Bacteria; Pseudomonadati; Bacteroidota; Bacteroidia; Marinilabiliales; Marinifilaceae
Description: Flavo-1 RNA
Source: RNAcentral